This 464-nucleotide ribosomal RNA is filed under the name uncultured bacterium. Its description in RNAcentral is "partial 16S ribosomal RNA". It matches the Rfam family "Bacterial small subunit ribosomal RNA", at positions 339 to 795 of the family's 1533-position model. The record is from RNAcentral.
CUACGGGUCGCACCAGUAGGGAAUCUUCGGCAAUGGACGGAAGUCUGACCGAGCAACGCCGCGUGAGUGAAGAAGGUUUUCGGAUCGUAAAGCUCUGUUGUAAGAGAAGAACGAGUGUGAGAGUGGAAAGUUCACACUGUGACGGUAUCUUACCAGAAAGGGACGGCUAACUACGUGCCAGCAGCCGCGGUAAUACGUAGGUCCCGAGCGUUGUCCGGAUUUAUUGGGCGUAAAGCGAGCGCAGGCGGUUAGAUAAGUCUGAAGUUAAAGGCUGUGGCUUAACCAUAGUACGCUUUGGAAACUGUUUAACUUGAGUGCAGAAGGGGAGAGUGGAAUUCCAUGUGUAGCGGUGAAAUGCGUAGAUAUAUGGAGGAACACCGGUGGCGAAAGCUGCUCUCUGGUCUGUAACUGACGCUGAGGCUCGAAAGCGUGGGGAGCAAACAGGAUUAGAUACCCGCGUAGUC